Molecule: ribosomal RNA, 253 nt
Filed under: uncultured bacterium
Lineage: Bacteria
Description: partial 16S ribosomal RNA
Rfam family: Bacterial small subunit ribosomal RNA
Source: RNAcentral
UACGAAGGUGGCAAGCGUUGUUCGGAUUUACUGGGCGUACAGGGAGCGUAGGCGGUUGGGUAAGCCCUUCGUGAAAUCUCCGGGCCUAACCCGGAAAGUGCGGAGGGGACUGCUCGGCUAGAGGAUGGGAGAGGAGCGCGGAAUUCCCGGUGUAGCGGUGAAAUGCGUAGAGAUCGGGAGGAAGGCCGGUGGCGAAGGCGGCGCUCUGGACCAGUUCUGACACUGAUGAGCGAAAGCCAGGGGAGCAAACAGG